GGAUUUUUAUGAAGAUUAAAUCUAAUCCCCACAUAGAAUAUAUCAAAAUGCUUACAGCGUGCCCUACAUAUGGAAAGAAGGCAAUAAAUGUUAGCUAUUUUCAUACACUUGUUACAGGGGAAGAAUUUUCUCUAACAGCAGAGGAGAAGGGGAAAGAGGCUGCUGCUGUUUGUUUUUCUACUCUUUAAGCCUGGCCCGGGGAGGUGAAAAUGUAACCAAACAGCUUCAGGUGGGAUUUUGGAAAUGAACAUAAUCCUUAUAUACGUGGUCUGAAGACUGAAUAACUUCUGUGGUAGCCAGCCUCCGAGAUGGCCCCACCAAUCACUGCCUCCUGGAAUUCGUGUCCUGUGGAGUCCCCGCACAGGUUAUACCAGGGCUGGUCUGUGUGGACAACUGCAUGUGGCAGAAGUGAUGGUGUUUUGCUUUGGUGGCCAAGCUGACUAAAAUGUAUGUCCUUUACAAGAAGAGGGUAUGAAAAAGACUGUGGCUUCUGUCUUGGGCACCAUCUCUCAGGGCUCAAACUGGGGGAGGUCUCACGAGUGCUUCCUUCAGUUUUCGCCUAGUCACCUCACUUGCCUUACCCUAGUCCCUGCUCCUCUACCCUCUUCAGAUCUCUGGGGGAAGUUGGUUGCCAUGUUGUGAACAGUCCAGUGACUGAGAACUGAGGCCUCUGGUCAAUAGCCAAUGAGGAACUGAGGCCUGGCAAAAACUAUCUGAUGAGCUUGGAAGUGGCUUCUUUAGCUCCAUUUGGCCCUAGAGAUGACUGCAGCUCCUGCUGACAGUUUACUGCAGUCUCAUGAGACUCCCGCCCUGAACCACAACCACUCAGCUCAGCCCCUUUCAGAUUCCUGACAGCAAUUCAGCGCUCACUAGCCCUUCUCAGCUCACCAUCAGAACCACCUUUGUACAUGAAAGACUUUGACUCCUCACUCCUUUCUUUCUUUCGCCAGGAUCCCCACUCGUUAAGAGGCAGUCAUAGUUUUAAAUAAUAAUAGCUCUUCUCCCUUAUCCUGAUUGGAUAGGAAUUUGUAAGCACCUCAAAUGAAGAGAGCCAAAGCACCCGUUACCCAAGGUUUACAUUUGUUCUCUGAAUGAAGCUCAUCAAUAUCCCACACGAUCCCUUCAGUCACAGUCAGCAGGUGUGAUGGUUAAUUUUAUGCAUCAACUUGACUGGGUCACAGGGUGCCCAGAUAGCUGGUAGAACAUUAUUUCUGGUGUGUCUGUGAGGGUGUUUCUGGAAGCGAUUAGCAUUUGAAUUGGUAGGCUGAAUAAAGAAGAUACCCUCAUCAAUGUGAGUGGGCAUCAUGCAAACUGUUGAGGGCCUGAAUAGAACAAAAAGGUGGAGAAAGGGUGAAUUUGCUCUCUGUGCUUGAGCUGGGACAUCCAUCUUCUGUCCUCGGAUACCAGCUCUCCUGGUUCUGAGGCCUUUGGGCUUCAAGUGGAACUUAUACCAUUAGCUUCCCUGGUUCUCAGGCCUUCGGGUUUGGACUGGAACUACACUACUUGCUUUUCUGGGCCCCCAGCUUGCAAAUGGCAGAUCAUGGGACUUCUCAGCCUCCACAAUUACGUGAGCAAUUCCCUCAUAACAAAUCUCUUCCUAUAUAUCUAUAUAUCCUAUUGGUUCUAUUUCUGUGGAGAACCCUGACUAAUACAGCAGGUUUGGGAGGUGGUCAAUGGUUCACUGUGCACUAGGGUGCACUCUGGUCUUUGAUGAAGUGUGGCACCAGCACUGCUGUAGCAGCAGCAGGGGAGAGCCUAGGACUGACAGACAGGGCCCAGGUUUCAAUCCAGAUCCUACUUUCAACUAGCUCUGUGACUUUGAUCAAGUCCUGCCAACUUUCUGCCUCAUUUCUCAUCUAUAAUAGGGAAAUGAGAUUAUUUUAAGGAUGGACUGAGAUAAUAAAUGGGAUAAUGCAUUGAAAAGUACAAAGGAUAAUACAAACGCUGUGUAGUAUUAAUCAGGGUUCUUGUUAUUAAGAGUGUGUUAAAUAAUCCAUCACAUGAUAGAUAGUUUUAAGUGGAAAUAAGGGAUCUUCCCCCCAACACAGUAGAUUUGCUUUACAAAGUGGAAAUGAUUCAUCAUCGUCAGGUUAGGUCAUGAUGGAUGUGCCCAUUCAUUCAAUCAUUCAUUCAUUCAACAUGUAUUUACUGUGUGCCUGCUUUGUUCUAUGCACUGUUUUAGGCUCUUAGGACAUCUAAGUGAACACAACUGUCAAAGACUCCUGUCCACAUGGAGCCUUUCCUGAUGAGUGAGGGGCAGGGCUGCAGCCCUCUUGCCCCAGAUGGCUGUGCUUGGAGCCAAAGGAGAAUGCCUGAAAGCUGCUGUAAGCAAUCUGAGGUCCAUCCUAUGAAUCCGAACAGGCACUGUCCUAGAAGAGGGAGCUGGGUGCAAAACCAAAGGAUUCAAGAACAAAGGAGAGAUGAUGAGUGGGUACCUAAAGAAGGCAAGAUCUGGAGGAGUUCCUGAGGCAAAGAAAAAAGUGACAGCAGUAGCAUUUUGGACAAUUCAAAUGCCCUUAAGGAGAAGGGAUCCUGGUAAAAGAAGGGAGGGGACAAGACUAAUGCAGAUAUACCAAUGGCCCACAGCUUCCUUCCUCUUGACAGAGCGAAGGCAGAGCAAAUUUACAUGACUGAAUGUUACUACAGCCUCUGGCAUGACCAGCAGAUGACAGGAAGCUGCUGCUUUCAAGAAUUUCAACUCUGAAAGAGAGAGAAAGAGGAGGAUUUGAGACCCUGGGAGUCAGGAGUGCUCCCGUGGCUGUGCAAGUGAGUAGCUGUCAUCUGGGGCAUGUCAUGCAUCUUGCAGUGAAGACACGCUUUUAGAUCCUUCUGGUGCUGGCAGUUUAUGGCUUGAAGUCUAGUUGAAGGGGAUGGUGAGAUGGAGAAGAGCAUAAGGCAAAACAAUGGGAGGGGGCAGAAAAUGGAGAAACAGCAAGAAAAAGACUGAGUGGGGGUGCUGGGAGAGAGAAAUGCAAUUGAAAGGACCAUGGAAAAACUAACAUGAAUUGAGAACCUACUAUGUGCCAGUGAUUAUGAGUAAUUAUAAGAUCAUGAUCGUGCAAUUAUAAGAAGCACUUUAUUUAUUUAUGCUAUUUAAUUUAAUUUCCAUACUUACUUCAUGAGACAGUGAUUACUUUCAGUAUUUUACAGAUGAGGAAAAUGAGCCCAGAGUUUAACUAUUCACCAAAAGUUACACUCCCAGUGAGUGGCUGAGCUGGAGAUCCAAAGACUGAACAGCUGUAAAUCCUAUGCUCUCUGAGCCGUGCACUGUAGUCUAAGUGGCAGGACGUCUGAGAGGGUGGUUGGUGACGAUCAUUCCAGGAGAGCAUUCGGGCUGUGACUCUUGAGAAUUAUCCUUUGACAAGUUUGUUGAUUUUCUUCACUGCUCUUUAUCUUCUCACGUCUUUAAAUCUUAAGAGGCUCCAGUCUGAAUAGGGUGACUAAAGCAGCCCAGUAAGGGAGAAAUUAUCUGCUGGGAUGCUGCCUCAUUGCCCAGAGCAGUAGAACCCUGGCUGUUGGCUAGCUUAGGCUCUGGAUUGGAAGUUGCCCUUUGGAUCUCUCCAAGGGAGCAGUGGCAGACGGUAGGUGUCUGCUGGGCUUGGACUUAAAGGCUGGGAAAGACAGAAGAAAGAGGGGGAGAAGGCCAGGGACAGACAGAGAUGUUGAAAGAAUGGGCAGGUUUUUCUUGCCCAGUAAAGACUACAUCAUCAGAACAGUGAUUCUGUCUCUGCGUCUGGCUUAAAAUCAAAACUUGAUUCAGACCUCUGCUUUAAUGAGUAAGAAAAUAUUGAUUAAAGGGGCCGGAUUCCCUCAGCUCUCCAGCUCUGGCAUCUUGCUGCUUUGAUAGCACAAAUCGAUACUCUCUUGUGAAGGUUUAAGCUCUGAUUUGUGAAAUAAAAACUGCACCAGGGUCCAAUAACAGCUGCCCUCAGGGCAGAGCCGAAGCAUCCAGCAGAGAAACGGCAGCGGGCACUGGCCCAAGGCAACACAUUUACUUCUGGGCGGCUUUUACCCAGGGCAUGGAGCCCUGGGUCAAGGUUUGGGCAGCUUCAUAAGUGACCUCCUGCUGUGGACUGACCAGGAAGGGACCAGAUUCCAUGCGUGUGCUGUCUUUAUUAUAUUAUACAUACAUGGAUGGAUAUAUCUCUCUCUAAUAUAUAGAGUGCCAUCAACUUGAAUUGUAGGAAUGACCCUGACUGUAUUUGCUGUUGGGUCAUUGGCAUCACACAGCCUGGUUCUGCCUUUCCAUUUUGUGGGGAGGUCCUCAAGCUGAAGGAAUCAGUUCUCAUGCUAGAUAUGUGUGCACCUGCUUUGUUCUUGCUCACUGAAAUUGAAGGUUUAAUAUUUUAUUGGGCUGGAGAAUGAGCACACAUUUUGGAGUCAGACAGACCUGUUUUCAAAGCCUAUCUCCCACUCUCUAGUUGUGUGACCUUGAGGAGAUCAUUUGACCUUGCUAAGCUUAUUUUCUUGUCUGUGAAAUGUAGAUAGCAGUGGAUUCUACCUCCUAGGAUUAUUGCAGGGAUUCAGUGGGAUCCUGCAAGGAGGAUGUUUGGUGGACUGGCUAGUAUAUAGUAAGCACUCCAUAAAUGCAGCACUAUAAUAUCCCAGUAAUUCUCCUGGGUUACUAAGGAAUAUACAUAUAUAUAUACUCAUUCACAGCACUAGUUGGGGUCUGAAUAAAUGGGGAAGGAAGUGUUACUCUGUCCAAGUGACUAUUUUAUUUCUCAUCUACCUUGUAUCUCUGGCUCUAGAGCCGAGUCAGCCAUUAACCAGCUUCAGGAAGGCCUUCCUGUGUGUCCUUUCCCUGUCACCAAAAGCAUAAAACAGAGUCACAGGACGUUAGCACUGCAUCAGCUGUGUGGCCUUGGCGACAGAUGCUUCAGCUCUCUGGGCCUUUGUUCCCUUACGAACGGAGGGUAAGGUCAUAGGGAAUUUGACAUCCCUAAGGCCUCUCUGGUGCGAAUAUUUCUGUAUGGUUCUAUGUUCUAUGUUCUGUUUCCUGGCACUGUGCCUUGUCCUCUUAAUGUUGGGCUAUGACUUGAAGACCUGCUCUGCCUUUUCCACAGUCUUCUCUUUCUCCAGGGCGGGGACUUCCCUGGCUGCUGUGGCCUGCUUCUUCCCACCUUUUCGGGUUCCAUUCCUUGACCAUUUCUGUAUGAGUGAUUCUUUUUCUGUCUAACGUCCUCUGGUCCCCACUCCCUGCUUUUCCUUCUCUAAACCCUGCUGUGAUGUUUACCGAUUUGGGGAAUUAAAUGACCCUAAACCGUGUACCUGUUGCGCUAAUAAAUGAGAUAAGCAGGGUAUUUUGCAGAUGUUCAAACCAGAUCCUCCCCUCUAAGCUGCUUGUUAAAUUCUGCAUGACUCCUUUCCGUGAAGACCAGAGGAAGAAACUCCUCUGAUGACAGUAUUGGGAAUAGGUGUUUAUAAGUAAGCGAGCAAGCAAAUGCAGGGCCACUAUGCGUUACUUAACUGAUGGUGUCUCUCCCUUUGCUUUGGUAGCUGGGAAAGUGAGAGCCAGACUUUGUGGCUCACUUCUAGCGAGAUUAUGUGGCAGGCGUUUUAUGUCUUAAUCUCCACCCUGAGUUCAUUUUGCUUUUCCUCAAUUUAUUUUUCCUUCAUUCAAAUCUGUCACUUCUUUGUUUAAAAAAAUGCUGGCAUACUUUUGAAAGUUAUGCCAUGCCCUUUUCAAAUAGGGUGAGAUCAAAGUAAGCAGAUGAGUGCAUUCUGUGCAUUUUGCAGAGCUGAGUGCUUGACCCAAUCUAAGCGAAAAUCAGUGAGAGAAGGCUCCCUGGAGAAAGGCGCUUACAGGAUACCCAUACAUCAACGAUGUGCCGUUCAGUCUGUCAUGAAAUCCCCCAAAUGGCAUGUGACUUGACAUCAGAAGGUGUAGGGUUGAAUUACAGAAAACCUCAUAAGACAUUUUUAUUAGAGUGGGAAACAUUUGCCAUAUAACAUAACCUCAUCAUCCUGUUACAUUUGUGUCCACACUCAAGGAGGGGGGCAGAGAUUAUAUAUUCUGUCUAUUACAGGUAGUUGAUGUAAUUUAACAUCAAAUAUUGUCUCAACUGGAAGUAAGAACUUCCUGUAUGCCUCUGGCCCUUCUUUUGACCACCGUUACCAUAUUAUGAUCCCAGGGCACUACUGUGAGUGAGAAGCACAAAAUCUCUACCCAUCAAUUCCGUGGCUUUAAACACCAUGACUUUCCUAACUCUGGCUUUGACCAUAAGCUCUGGCCAAACCGUGGAGAUUUGUCUUACUCUCCAGAAUCAACCCAUUGCAUCUACUGACCUUGGAUACCCACCUGAUCCCCAUCACCACAGAUACCACCUCCACCUGCUAUCCCUGUCCCUGCCCACAACCCAUUUUCUUCUGCCGCUCAUUCUCUCAUGUAAAGGCAAUGGAUGCAUUUUAGUAAUGGAUCUUUGUGGAGAGUGAAAAAAAUUAGUAUUCAAAGAGAUUAUGUUAUGGUGUGGAUUAAUAGGCAAGGUGGCUAACACUUUGUCAGGGCCUUAGCUGUGUCCUUAAAAGAGCUCCAGGUGGGUUUCCAGCUACAGAAACCACACACAACCUUCCUUUCUUAGUAACAGCAGCAGGAUGCUCUCUAGUGACAGAACUUUCUUUGCUUCCAGUGACUGCCUUUAGAGAGUAGGAGUGUCCUCUCCCAGUGAGACCUGUGAGGACACCUGGGUAGAGGCUGCACAGUCAUUGCAAAUCUCUCCUGAUGCUAAGCCCAGGGAAUCCAGCAUUACCCAGAGACAGAACGAUUGUGUUCACCACUUAUUAGGGAAGAUUCAAGCCAUCAGACUAGAAACAUUUUUUUGCAAGCAAAAUCCUGCUUUCAAAAGAAUGCAAAUCUUCCAAUAGUGGGACUUUUCAUCCUGGCCCUCCUUUGUCUCAAGUUCACAGAACAUCCUAGACAUCACCAUAGCCUCCCUAGAUGCCUAUAAACUGCUGGCAUCACUGGGUGUUCAUUUUCCAGAUCUGGAAGUAUGUCAGGAAUAUAGCCCACAACAGUUCCAGAAUAUCUGAGGACAGAGAGCUGGUUUUAGGCCAUGCAUUCCAAUAGACCUAUCACAACACCGUAGCGUCCUGCCUGCUUCACAAAACUCAUCGUCCUUAAACGUGUCAUGUUGAGAACUUGUCACAUGGCUCCACUUAAAUGCAAGGAGGGCUGAGAAAUGCGGUCCACCCACCAGUGGACCCAGAAAGAGGAACUAGGCUUGGUGAGCAUCUAGAUGUUUCUGUCACAGUUUGGAAAGCACAAUGGAGUCCUCCAUUGAAUAGCCGAAAUAAACCUUCUAAACAUCUGCUAACAGAAGAUCCAAACAAAAGUCACAAAAUUAAUUAGUAAAAGGCAAAGGAGCGUUAGCUAAGGGAAAUAAACUACAGCCUAGAACUAUAGUCACUCCCAUUUCUCAGUGAGAGAAAACCAAAACAAAACAAAUAAAACACAGAUCUUUAGUGAAUCUGAUUCCUGCCUUUGGUUGAUAUUCAAUGCAAUGAGAAAUGACGACGUGAGCUUGAGCUGCCCCCAGAGGCUGAGAAGAAAGCAUCCAGAGAUCAGUCACCCAAAAGUUCUGAAGAAACAGGCAUGCUCCGCUUUGUCCAGUUGGCAGUAAAGAACAGGAUGAUAUAUGACCUUGCUAAAAGGGUCGUGAUGAAACUUGGGACUUUCCUAGAAGACGGAGUAAUUCUUUCUCUUAAAAUUCCCAUAUAAUAAUAAUAAUAACCACAAAAGUGAAUAUUUAUUGAAUGUUUACUCUGGGCCAGAGAGUUCCCCUGCAUUCUCUCGUUUUCCUUCACAAUAACUCAAUGAGGAAGGCACUAUUAGCCUUACUUUACAGAUGAAGAACCAAGACUUAGAGAAGUUAAGGAACUCUCCAAAGUCACGUAACUGCUAAAUGGUACAGCUGGUAGACACACCCAGGCGUGUCUAACUCUAGAGCCCCUGUGCUAAGACCAAUGCUUAGAGGUCUUGGAUCUUAUAAGAAUUCUUAAGAGGUCAUGCAAUGAUAAUAUGUCUGAGAUUUGCUUUAUGUUAAUCCAGGUGGUGGGAAAAGUGGGUAAAUUGAUAAAAUAAGCAUAGUGACGUAUUGAGUCGUAGUGAAGCUGGGAGAUGGUACAUGGAGGUCCUGAUGUUAUUCUCUUUACUUUUGUAUAUGUUUGAAAUUUUACAUAAUAUAAGAAAGAUUGGCAAAUGGAUACAUAGUUAUAUAUUUUAAGUUAAAGCAAACUUUUGAGGUUUGACAAAGAGGAAUUCCAGAUAUCCAGUAGGACCUUUCUGACAACCCACGCCUUUAGUCUACUGCUCUAGUAGACUUUUGCUCUCGGCGGAGAACAGUAAGCCAAGCGGUGGUUGCCAGUCACGUUUCUUGUAUUUUCUUUUAAAGGUGGUGACCAUAUUUUCCUUUUUUCAAAUAUUGUGGCACUUUUUCUGGUUUCCGUUUUAUGUAGACAGUCACACAGCCUCUGCCAUUUCUAUUUGAAAACCUCAGCAGGUUUUUCUGUUCCUCCCAGUUUGGCAAAGGAGCUUCUAAGGAGCACACAAAACACCCUGAAAGAUAAGGAGCAGAGAGCGGAGGGGGCAUCGAAUGAGAUGGAUUUAAAGAACCAGAACAGACAGGAGCUGUUAUUUAGAGACUGGAAACCAGUGUGCAAGUGAGAACAGAAAAAGGAGGAAGCAGAGACAUCAGUUAAGCUAUUUAAGGGAAAAAGAGCCCAAAGUACAUCAUAAAAGAUAAAAAUGCGGGCACUUAUGUCUUGAUUAAGGAGCUUAUUAAUUAGAGUUGAGUUGUUAACUGGUUUAUAGUUCCCUGGGACUAGGAUGAGCCUCCAAGAGGAGUCCAGGCAGAAAACAGCCAGUCUGGAUAAUUACCAUGGAUUGCCUUGGGGUUUGUCCCAGCCUCACAGACAACUUAAUAUCUAGCAGCCAGGUGAACAGGCCUGGGCUGCUCUACCCACCAGGCAGGACAAACUCCCAGGCGCCUGGCCAGGUGCCAAAGCGUGCUCCUCCCUUCUCUUAUUGGGAGUAAGAGACAAGCUGAGUGGUCUUAGUUGGAAAUGGCCCAAGACCUCCUAAAGCUCCUUUCCUGAUGUGUGGAAUGUUCUCUCCCAGAUCUAGGUGCUCGUAUGGACUCUGACUCUAAACCACAGUGAUGCACCCAGGUACCAUGCCUCUCUGGUCUACAACAGCACAGAGUGAACGGUGUUUGUGGCAGUCAGAGUGCAGCCUCCGGCUCUGAUCCACCCCUUUUUGUUUCUCACUCUUGGCUCUGUCUCUCAUUUGUGACUCCACACUUACCCAUUGUGCUUGAUGUUUUAUUUUUGUUGGAUCUUGACUCUUCAGUUCUCCCUUAAGGAGGAAAAUGAACAGGCCAGGGGUGGCCAGGAAGGUAAUGUCAAUGUGGGAAGCUGCUGGAUAAAAAAUGAUAAAGAAAGGUGAGGGCAUGCUUUGAAGUGAGAGUGCAUAUCCUACCUAAAGACAAUCAAAUCAGUUUCUAAAACAAACCCUGGCCUGGACAAAUAGAACAUAGUUGUGGAUCCACAGUUUGAAACUGCUGACAUUGCCUCUUAGGGGAUCCACCCUGUGCUUUUGUCAUCUGGGCCUUCCUAGUUCUAGGGCGAAGGUGUGGGUGGGGUGUCUGUGGUUCAGAUAUAGGUAGGGAGUGUCCUAUGAUGAGGGUGCACAGAUUCUCUUCUCUAAUUCCUGAUCCUGAUAAAUCCCAGGUGCCCAUGUGAGACAGUGUGUUUCUUGCCACACUGGCCUAAUCUUCUCAGUUGCAGAGAAGUUGAGCCAUGUCUUUAGUGCGCAAUCCCUACGCCCUGCCUAUACGCUUAUUUACACUCCCUUGGUUCUAAGUCUCUCCUUUUUCCCUGUGUAAAGAUUGCUGCCUUCGUAUCUUCUGGACUCUAGUAAGUAGUUAAAUACACUAAUCUACACUAAAGUGCUAAUGGCCUAAAGUGGUGCUUAUUUCAGGAGUUGUUCUUGUGGCUCAUGGAAAGGUUAAGGCUUAAUCCAAAGGUGUACUCUCUCGUCAUAGAUUUCCACAUAUUCUAGCACUAGUGUAGUGCAUAUAUUUUCAGAGGUUUGUAGAAGUUAUGUGGUAGAUUCUGUUGAUUGCUUUACUCAACCUGCAGUUUUACUUAACUCUCCUUUAGAAGGCGGUUAGAAAGCUAAAAAGUAUAUUUCCAGUAGCUCUUUACAACUAAGGCUCUGGAUAUGAAAUAGAUUCUUCCACUUAGAUGCACUUGUACUAAGAAACAGAUGGUGGGAGGAACGUGGAGGCCAUUUUCUUGCCUCUGUUGUCUGUUUCUGCUGGCAAGCAAGGACGGGGAAAUGUGAGUCGUUCCUGCAUCAGUAUUCUAGCUUCCUGAGUAUUGAGAGGCAUUUAUAGCAGCUAUGUCUUCUUGAUUCUUGGGCUCCGGCCAUAUGGAUAUGAUUUUGUAUUUAUAUCUCUAGUGGCAGUGGCAGCCUCAGAGGUGGGUCAAUUUUAUAUUGUUCUGGGAUCAUCCCUGGAGGCCCUUCUUAGAAUCUGCUCCGUUAGCUCUUCCAUCAAUUCUGUAAACUUUGAAUUCCCUGCAUUAAAUCCCUUUCUGCUCAAAAUACCUAGAGUACUUUAUACUUUCUGUGUUGAACCUUGACUGUUAGAUCCUUCAAGUGGUUUAUAUUAAACUUACUCCUGAACCUAGUCCUGUUCCUAGGAUCUUAAUCCCAAGUUUGACAUGAAAAUGAAGAUGAAAAAUAAGGGCCCCUUUCAGAGAGAAGAGCAUGCAAAUGUGGGAACAAAGCGCCACCACUGUGGCAUUGACUUAUGUCUGGCUCAGUACUUAGUUUUUACUAGACCAGGUGUUCCCUGCUAUGAGUGUCACUAAUGUCUUGUAGAGGGUUUAGGUCACUGAAGAUUGUACUGGCAGCCAG
Molecule: long non-coding RNA, 10918 nt
Organism: Equus caballus (horse)
Lineage: Eukaryota; Metazoa; Chordata; Mammalia; Perissodactyla; Equidae
Source: Ensembl